RNAcentral lists this ribosomal RNA (421 nucleotides) under uncultured microorganism. Its description in RNAcentral is "bacterial SSU rRNA". It matches the Rfam family "Bacterial small subunit ribosomal RNA", at positions 9 to 428 of the family's 1533-position model. The record is from RNAcentral.
GAGUUUGAUCCUGGCUCAGAUUGAACGCUGGCGGCAUGCCUUACACAUGCAAGUCGAACGGCAGCAUGAUCUAGCUUGCUAGAUUGAUGGCGAGUGGCGAACGGGUGAGUAAUACAUCGGAACGUGCCCUGUAGUGGGGGAUAACUAGUCGAAAGAUUAGCUAAUACCGCAUACGACCUGAGGGUGAAAGUGGGGGACCGCAAGGCCUCAUGCUAUAGGAGCGGCCGAUGUCUGAUUAGCUAGUUGGUGGGGUAAAGGCCCACCAAGGCGACGAUCAGUAGCUGGUCUGAGAGGACGAUCAGCCACACUGGGACUGAGACACGGCCCAGACUCCUACGGGAGGCAGCAGUGGGGAAUUUUGGACAAUGGGCGAAAGCCUGAUCCAGCAAUGCCGCGUGUGUGAAGAAGGCCUCGGUUGUAA